This 506-nucleotide ribosomal RNA is filed under the name uncultured bacterium. Its description in RNAcentral is "partial 16S ribosomal RNA". It matches the Rfam family "Bacterial small subunit ribosomal RNA", at positions 30 to 523 of the family's 1533-position model. The record is from RNAcentral.
AUUGAACGCUGGCGGCAGGCCUAACACAUGCAAGUCGAACGGUAACAGGAAACAGCUUGCUGUUUCGCUGACGAGUGGCGGACGGGUGAGUAAUGUCUGGGAAACUGCCUGAUGGAGGGGGAUAACUACUGGAAACGGUAGCUAAUACCGCAUAACGUCGCAAGACCAAAGAGGGGGACCUUCGGGCCUCUUGCCAUCGGAUGUGCCCAGAUGGGAUUAGCUAGUAGGUGGGGUAACGGCUCACCUAGGCGACGAUCCCUAGCUGGUCUGAGAGGAUGGCCAGCCACACUGGAGCUGAGACACGGUCCAGACUCCUACGGGAGGCAGCAGUGGGGAAUAUUGCACAAUGGGCGCAAGCCUGAUGCAGCCAUGCCGCGUGUAUGAAGAAGGCCUUCGGGUUGUAAAGUACUUUCAGCGGGGAGGAAGGGAGUAAAGUUAAUACCUUUACUCAUUGACGUUACCCGCAGAAGAAGCACCGACUAACUCCGUGCCAGCCGCCGCCGUAA